Molecule: long non-coding RNA, 2891 nt
Filed under: Marmota monax (woodchuck)
Lineage: Eukaryota; Metazoa; Chordata; Mammalia; Rodentia; Sciuridae
Source: RNAcentral
GGCCGGGCUGGGCACAGCCCACAACCCUGGACGGAGGAGGCCUGGACGCAGGACCAUCGAGGACCACGGGGCCGGGCCUGCUGCUCUCUGGGCUGAGGAGGUUGCAGGCUCUUCUGGAAAAUGGCCCCAGCACUGCCCACCAUGACCACCCAGCUCAGGUCGGGUGCUCCAGACCAAGGUGACCGUGUGGCUGGACCAGAGCCAUGUGACUGGCCAGCGUGAGAGGUCCAGGGGCAUGAUGGUGGGGGGGGGAGCAGAGGAGAGAGUGCCCAGUGGAGGGUGGCACAGCCAGAGGCCCCAGAGCUGGGCCUUCUGCUGAGCACAGCCUGAGCCCGCUCUGCCCUACCUCUGACUGGCGGACUGCAGGCUCCCCCUGGGCAGGGGACACUGUGACUGAUGGCUUCCCCAGGCCUAGGCAGGCAGCCACCCUCCCGCCCGUCACUCCCUGGGCUCCUCCCCACCUCCUGCUGACCCCCGCUGCACCCCACGCUGUCCCACCUGCCCCCAGCCCACGGAGAUGACUGUCAGGAGGACGGUGCCUUCCUUCCGGGCCUCUCCUCCCCGCCUUGCUCUGCAGACCUGAGGCCAGGCCCCUCCCGGGCGGCCCUUCUUGGGUGGCUCCCUCGGGCUAGAGGGCCUUGUGGGUGCUGCUGCCCACCCACCUCUACCCCAGCCCGCCUUCCCCCGGGCUCAGCCUGGUGCCCCCACUGUGCUUGGGUGGGUGCUGCCCCUCUGCCCCUGGCUCCCCUUUCUCCCCCCACCCACCUCUCCUCCCCAGGGAUGCGUCUGUGUCCCCACUGGCCAGCCGGCCAAGGACCAAAGCCUCAGGAAGUGUCAGCCGGUGGCUGCUUUAAAGCCCUGUCACUUCUCCACCUGAGGAAACAGGCCCAGGGAGGCACAUGGCUUGGAUCUGGAAGGUUCCCCGAAGCCUGAUGUGUCAAGGACUUGGUCCCCGGUGUGGCCAGGUACUGAGGUGGGGACUUGGGGAAGUGAUCGGAUCCUGAGGGUCUGUCCCCAGCUCUGGACUCACCCCGAGGGCGUAGUGAUCUGAGUGGACUGCGGUGGGUGGCAUGAUGUGGGGAGGCCUGGCCGGGCCUGCUUCCCGGCUGCCAUGAGCUGACCUGCUUCCUCCCGGGCCCCUCUGCCAGGUGCUGAGCCUCACCUCAGGCCCGAGUUGUGCAGUUGACCGAGCGAGCACCAAAGUCUCUGGAACCCGGAGCCAGCACAGAGCGCUUCCUCCUUUCAGUUGUCGGGUGUUUGAGUCACAGCAGUGGACACCCGGUUGCUCUGGGUCACACCGUGAGGCGGAGGCCAGGGGAGACCUCUAGGUGGGGAGCCUGUGUCCAGCCCUCCCAUGGCCGCCAGGGCCCCAGGGGCAGAGCCCGUGGUGUUUUCCUCUCCGUCACCCAUUAAUAAUGGGAUUAAAGCAAGUUCCUGCCAAGGAGAGAGACUGGCUCUUAAGAAACAGCUCAAGCACAUUGUAAGAGUGAAAACCGUCGGCCAUCAGCACUUUUUACCUAGACCUGAAUUCAUGAAUGUUAACCAAAUAAUCACAGGCACGGAGCUCUAAUGCCUGCGAUUAUGCACAACCACCAUUAUGGCUGUAAUGACAAUUAGAUUCCGGUUCGGCGGUGGCUUCCAGGAGGGAGGAGUCCUCUGGUUUCCAGCGCUGUGACCUCGGAUUGCCGUUGCCAUGGCAGCGGGGCUGCGUGGGAAUCUGUGGACAGGAGACUGGUCUUGUGGGGAGGUGCAGGACAAAGGUCCCUCCUCAGCCCCGAGCCUUAGUCAGAGCAAGAGGCUGGGGUGGCAGAAAUGGCCAGUGCCCAGGGGCCCCUGCUGACUUCAUCCCUUACCAGGCAAUGGGCUGGCCCUGUGGGACACAGUGCUGUCACCUUUCAGUAAAUAUUAGUUGAGCACCUGCUAGGUACGGGGGAUAGAGCAGUGGCAGGUCCCUGGGCGUGCUGAGCCCACAGCUCAGGGGGGACAGAUAAGAAAGCAGACAGACAUAGGAGCCUGGUCAUCUCUGCCUGCAAAGGGCCAAGAAGGCACGGAAGCUGAAGUGACCGGGAGUGCCUGGAAGGGGUCCUUCUGCCCGCGUGGCCAGGGGAGGCCUAGCUGGGGAGGCCCGCAGGACAGCAAGAAGAGAAUCCCGCAAAGGCAGUGGUGACCCUUUCAGAGAAGACAGAGGGGUAGGCAGAGGAGACACGGGACACAGCUAAAAUCGAAUUUCUGAUAAAUCACCCAUAAUUCCUAGUGUGAGCCUGUGUCACGCAUCACCGAGACAGGCUGACCCUAACAGGUCGUUUGUUGCCAUCUGAAAUUCACAGGUACCUGGCCUCCUGGAUUCGUCUUUGCUACAUUCAGCCAGCCCGACAGAGAGCAGAGCUGCCGCCCACUCACCCCACGCCCUGCGCUGUCCUCCUGGAGGGUGGCUCACAGGUCCCCAGCCUGUUUCCCCUAAAAGCCCUGGGACUGCGUGAGGUCUGCAGGGCCCUGGGGCACUGGUCCUCACCCACCGUCCAGUGACUUCACUUCUCCUGCCUGCUUCUUCAUCCCCACCCUCCUGCACCACCCUUCAAGGCCUCGACCCGGCUUACUGUCCAGAGAAACUUCUGUGCACCUUCCGCUUGGUCCCAGCCUGUGCAGACGCUCGGCACUUCACUGUCUGAAAAUUAGCCAUGCAUAUUUAAAAUUUUUAAUUAAUUAAUUUAUGGUACUUGGGAUUUAACCCAGGGGGACUUUAGCCACUGAACUAUGUUUCCAGUUCUUUUGUUUUUAUUUCGAGACAGGGUCUUGCUAGGUUGCUGAAAACCUCCUAAGUUGCUGAGACUGAUCUUGAACUUGCAACCCUCCUGCCUCAGCUUCCUGAAUUGCUGGGGUUACAGAUGAGC